This 440-nucleotide ribosomal RNA is filed under the name uncultured bacterium. RNAcentral's name for it is "partial 16S ribosomal RNA". It matches the Rfam family "Bacterial small subunit ribosomal RNA", at positions 338 to 795 of the family's 1533-position model. The record is from RNAcentral.
CCUACGGGAGGCAGCAGUGGGGAAUAUUGGACAAUGGGGGAAACCCUGAUCCAGCGACGCCGCGUGAGUGAAGAAGUAUUUCGGUACGUAAAGCUCUAUCAGCAGGAAAGAAAAUGACGGUACCUGACUAAGAAGCCCCGGCUAACUACUUGCCAGCAGCCGCGGUAAUACGUAGGGGGCAAGCGUUAGCCGGAUUUACUGGGUGUAAAGGGAGCGUAGACGGCAGUGCAAGUCUGGAGUGAAAUGCCGGGGCUCAACCCCGGAACUGCUCCGGAAACUGGGAAGCUGGAGUGCAGGAGAGGUAAGCGGAAUUCCAGGUGGAGCGGUGAAAUGCGUAGAUAUCAGGAGGAACACCAGCGGCGAAGGCGACUUACUGGACUGUAACUGACGUUGAGGCGCGAAGGCGUGGGGAGCAAACAGGAUUAGAUACCCGGGUAGUC